GCUGAACCAAGCAAUGGCAGCUGAAGAUGCCUCUGGAAACACACACACACCUGAGGCCUGAUCGUCCCUUCCCCUGGCCAAGUCAAUCUCAGAUGCUGCAAACCAUGUGCAGAUGAGGCUCAGCCAUGCGAGAAGCAUUCCCACAUCAGUAAGGAGAAAAAGAUCCUGUGCAUGAUCUGGAGGUGUGCUUUGCUGGUUCUGACAUGAAAUUAUUAAUCAAGAAACAACACCGAAGAGACAAAAAACCCCCUCCUACCCUUGAACCCCUUCAGAUCCCUUUAUUGUCCUGGAAGUUGUUGCACUUGGACUGGCUUUUCGCUUUCUCCUCUCAGAGAGUCUGGCUCCAGAAAUGGUCCCCAGAUUCCUCAGCUACGUCCUACUGAGGGAAAACAUUUAUUGAAGUUUUGAGAUUAUUGGGGAAAUACAUAUUUCUGCUUCUUUUCCAAACUCCACCGACAUCUUUUCUAAGCCAGCCCUGCGUGUCAGCACAGGGGCAGGAGAGGCAUCCUCUUGCUCUUCUCUCGAAGCCGCUGCAUUCUGUGUGAAUUUCAAGUACCCAGAAAUGCCACGGAGAGGGAUUCCUACCGUCACCGUGUGGUUCAUUAGUGGGCAAUAGUGGCAUCCAUCCCCAGCCACUGCUGGAGAGGAGAUACUGGAGCUUUGGAUGAAAUCCCACAAAUUUUCAUGGAAGCAGAACGGCAGGAAGGCAAACAGGAAAGAAGAGGAGGUCAUCCAGGUGAUGGUGGGCCUGGGGAAAAAGGACAUAAAGUGACCUUUGGUCUGCUGCAUCCACCUGCGGAAACAAAGGCACGGAUAAAAAAAGAUCACCUGCCCACCUUCAUUGCUGGUGACUGAGCCAAGCAAUUCCUUCUCCCCAGUGCCCUGAGCACUCCUCCGUGCUGCCCGAGGUCACAUAGAUUCAGGCUCACAGGCGAGCAGACCUCUUCCAGUACAUUUUGGCAGCUGGGACUCAUCUCAGUGAAAGAUGGAGCUGUGACAUAUUUGGCUGCGCCUUGGAAAAGAGAAGAGAAGGGAAAAGAGAAGAAAAGAGAAGAAAAGAAAGGAGAAGAAAAGAGAAGAAAA
Molecule: long non-coding RNA, 1083 nt
Organism: Pygoscelis adeliae (Adelie penguin)
Lineage: Eukaryota; Metazoa; Chordata; Aves; Sphenisciformes; Spheniscidae
Exons: 5
Source: RefSeq, a predicted model, not a curated record